Molecule: long non-coding RNA, 5431 nt
Filed under: Homo sapiens (human)
Lineage: Eukaryota; Metazoa; Chordata; Mammalia; Primates; Hominidae
Description: HSALNT0284781
Source: RNAcentral
AACCUGCUUCAGCCCAGUCCCUAUUUUAGCUAGUCCUCAAUUUGGUCUGGUGUCUGAGCUCCACCCCUGGAGUAGAGUCCCACCUUCUACCUCAAAUUGACUAGAAACAGGCACAAAGGACCUUUCGGGAUGAUGAAAACAUUCUACAUCUUGUUUUGUGUGGUGGUAACAUGGGAUUAUAUGAUUGUUAGAACUCUUCAAAUUGAACAUUUAAGAUGUGUGUGAUAUAUUGUAUAUAAAUUAUACUUCAAUAUACCUUAAUUCCCUCUCCAGAGAAAGCCACUUUAUUAGUUUGGUGUGUAUCAUGCCAAUUUAGGUUUUCUUUAAUUUUAAGCAAUAAAAAACAAUGCUGCAAAAAUUAUCUUUGCAAAUUUUGACAAUUGGAUAACUGAUAAGUGGUAUAACAAUGUUGCAGAUUACAUUUCUCUGUUAAGUAGUGAGGUUGUGCCUCUGUUCACAUGUUUAUUGGUUACUUGUAGCUCUGUAAAUUGCCUGUUCACAUGCUUUGCCUGUUUUCCUGGCACAAAAGAUAUUACCUUUAUCUUACUGAUUUUGCAGAAGGGCUGUAUUUAGUAUAGAUAGUACUUGUUUCUCUGUUUUAUAUGUUGUAAAUAUUUUCUCCUAGUCUGUAGCUUGUUUUAAUCUUGUCUGUGUUGUCUUUCUAUAUACUGAAGUUUUUCCAUUUUGAUGUAGUUAAAUGCAUCAGUCUUUUUAUUUAUGGCUUUUUUCUUCCCCAACUGAAGCCUAUGAAAAAUACUCUCCUAGAUGGAGAACAUCUUGGCUAACACAGUGAAACCCCGUCUCUACUAAAAAUACAAAAAAUUAGCCAGGCAUGGUGGCAGACACCUGUAGUCCCAGCUACUUGAGAGGCUGAGGCAGGAGAAUGGCGUGAACCCUGGAGGUGGAGCUUGCAGUGAGCCGAGAUCGUGCCACUGCACUCCAGCCUAGGUGACAGAGCGAGACUCCAUCUCAAAAAAAAAAGAAAAGAAAAGAAAAGAAAAAUACUCUCCUAAGGACAGGCGUGGUGCCUCACACCUGUAAUCCCAGCACUUUGGGAGGCCAAGGCGGGUGGGUCGUUUGAGACUAGUUAGAGACUAGCCUGGGCAACAUGGUGAAACCUCCUCUCCACAAAAAAAUACAAAAAUUAGUCAGGCAUGGUGGCGCGUGCCUAUAGUCCCAGCUACUUGAGAGGCUGAGGCAGGAGGAUCACCUGGACCCAGGAAGGCCGAGGCUGCAGUGAGCCAUGAUCACACCACUGCACUCCAGCCUGGGCGACAGAAUGAGACCCUGUCUCAAAAAAAAAGAAAAAAAAGAAAAGAAAAAUACUCCCCUAUACUGAUAUAGUACUAUUCUAAGUUCUAAAAAUCUAUUUGGAACUUAAUAAGUGGCAUAAGAUAGGACUCUGAUUUUUUUUUUUCAUAUGGAUACCCAGAUUCCCAGGAGCAUCUGUUGAAGAGAUCCUUUCCCCUAUUAGAACUUGAAAUGCAACAUUUACCAUAUACUUAACUAAAUGCCAUAUACUUUACCCAUAUAUGCCUGUAUCUAUAUGAGAAUAUAUAGGUUAAACACAAGGAUCAUAUUGUACAUACUAUUCCAUAUUAUGUUCUUCCUCAAAUUAAUUAUAAAUUUAGCACUAUCCAAUCAAACCAAUUCAUCUUAACUAACACCCAAAGCAACAGUUUGAACUGGAACAUAAGUUCUUAUAUUUUCUAAAUCUGUUGGACUCAACAAAACAAUGACUAAGUGGAGCAAUGGUUUCAUUAGAGGAGAAGAAUUAGGCAGUUACUUGCCUUUCCAGCAGAAACCAUGUUUUGGGUAACCAAAAAGCCCAGUUAAUGAGGGAAAGUGCUUCCUUCUAGAUUAGGAGAAUGUUAACUAAUACACAUAGAAAAAUGAUAGAAUUCAAAGAUUAUUUUAUGACACCGUCCCCCCCCCACCAUGAAAUAAUUGAUUCAGAAAAGGAUCAUGGAUGGAUGCUUGUAUCAUCAGGUGCUAUAGCCAUGAGGGAAAAACAUAACUUUACAAAAGAGGAAUUAUAUCAUCAUCACCAGCUUAACCCAGUUUGAUCUGUUUGGUUGGGAUUUUUUUCCUAGCUCCUUGAGAUAGAUGCUUUGAUGGUUUCUUUCCAGCCUUUUUUAAAUUCAUAGGUUUUGGCCAGGUGUGGUGGAUCAUGCCUGUAAUCCCAGCAUUUUGGGAGGCCAAGGCAGGCAGAUCACUUGAAGCCAGGAGUUUGAGACCAUCCUGGCCAACAUGGUGAAACCCCAUCUCUACUUAAAAUACAAAAAAUUAGCCGGGCAUGGUGGCGCAUGCCUGUAAUCCCAGCUACUCAGGUGGCUGAGGCACGAGAAUCACGUGAACCUGAGAAGUGAAGGUUGCAGUGAGCCCAGAUCACACCAUAGCACUCCAGCCUGGACAACAGAGCGAGACCCUGUCUCAAAAGAAAAAUCAUAGGCUUUUAAAAAUCAAGUGUAUUUUUUAAUUAUGUUCUUAAUAUUUGUGUAUUUCUCUAUAUAUAAUUUUACCAAAAUUUUUAAAAAUACAAAAAUAAAAAGGAUUCAAUAUGGAAUAAGAUAAGGCCACUACUAUCUCAUUUGUUGCCUUUGCAUAAAUGAGACAAAAGAGAUUCCUCUAGGAAGAUGCCACCCAGUUGGCACAUGGCUUUGUGCAAAUUAGCAAAAGAGAUUAAUUACAAAUUAGCAAAAGGGAUCACUUUAAUCAGGUUUAUUGGUGUAUAAUUUACACACAGUAAAGUUUGUUCUUCUAGGGUGUAAAGUUCUAUGAGUUCUGGCAAGUGUAUGUAGUCAUGUAACUACCACCACGAUCAAGAUACAGAAUAUUUUCAUCACCCCACCAAGUGCCCUUGUACCAUAUAGUCAACCCUCUCUCUUCAGCCUCAGCACCCCCAAAAAACCACUGAUCUGAUUUCUGUCCUAUAACUUUUGCUUUUCUCGGAAUGUCAUAUAAAUGAAACAAGACUUUUUAUGUCUGAGAUUCAUUUAACAUAGUGCUUUUGAGCUUCAUUCAUGUUGUUGCUUGUAUUAAUUGCUUGGUCCUUCUUAUUGCUAAGUAGUAUGCCAUUGUAUAGUACAAUUUAUUUAUUCACCAGAUGAUGGACACUUGGGUUGUUUCUAGGUUAGGCCAAUUACCAAGAAAGCUGCUAUAAAUAUUUGCAUGCAAGUCUUUGUGUGGACCUAUGUUUUUAUUUCUCUUGGGUAAAUACUGAGGAGUGGGAUUGUUGAGUCACAUGGGAAGUGUAUGUUUAACUCUAUACAAAACUCUUUUCCAAAGUGGCUGUACCAUUUUACAUUCCCACUAGAAUCAUAUGAGAGUUCCAGUUGCUCCAAUUCUGACAUGCACUUGGUUUUGUCAUUUUUAAAGCCACUCUAACAGAUGCAGAUAUUCUAAUCUUUUACCUGUAUUUUUAAAAUUCAGUUGUUGUUUUCUUAAUAUCGAAUUGUGAGAGUUCUUUAUAUAUUCUGGAUAAAGUCCUUUAUUAGCUUUGUUAAGUUACAAAUAUUUCAUCCCUGUCUAUAGUUCAGCUUUCAUUUCCUUAACAGCAUCUUAGAAAGGGCAGUAGUCUUUAUUUGGGUACAUCCAGUUUAUUUAUUCACCGUUUAUGGUUUGUCCUAUUUGUGUCCUACCAAAAAAAGUUUGCCAAACACAAGAUCACAAAUAUUUUCUAUUAUAUUUUCUUCUAGACAUUUUAUAAUUUUAAUAAUUUUAAAGUUGUAGCUUAAUUUUGCAAUAGCUAAAGGAUAUACACUGUGUUAUUUCACCCUUUGCUGUUUGUUGAGACUAAAUUUAUGCCUUUCAUGUAGUGAAAUUUUGUAGAUGCUCCUUGUACCUAAAAAUAAACUGUAUUCUGCAGUUUUAGAGUGCAGGGUUCUACAUUUGUCAGUUAUGUUAAGAUUACUUGUGCAAUUCAAAUAUUUGUUAGUCUUACUUAUUUUUGUCUUAUUUUACCAAUACUGAGAAAAGUUUAUACAAUGAAACACCAUGCGGCAAUAAUAAUGAACAAACUACUGCCGCAUGUAACCAAAUGGAUGAAUCUCACAAACAUAAUGUUGUUAUAUUAUUAAAAGCUGUAUUAUUAGAUGCAUGCAAAUUUAGAAUUAUUUGAUCUUCCUGCUGAAUUGACUCUUUUAUCAUUACGAAAUGUCCCUUUUUGUCUUUACUACCACUUCUUGCUUUAAAGUCUACUUUAUCUGAUAUUAAUACAACUACAUCAGCUUUUUUGUUAAUAUUUGCAUGGCAUAUCUUUUUCCAUCUUUUUACUUUUAGCCUUCUGUGGCUUCAUAUUAAAAGUGGAUCUCUUAUAGACAACAUGUAGUUAUUUUUUAAUACAUUCUGAUUUUGUGUUUUAACUGGAAUGUUUAGGCUGCUUACCUAUAAUAUAUAUUAUAUAGAUGGUAUAUUUGGUAUUUUGGGGCUUAAAUCUACCAUCUUACUUUUUGCUUUGUAUUUGUUCUUCCUGUUUUAUAUUGCUUUUUCUCUUUUCUCUUGCCCUCUUUUGAAAUGCAUAAUGGUUUUUUAUAAUUCCAUUUUCCCCAUUAUCUUGUUAAUUAUAGAUUCUAUUACUAUUCAUGUAGUGGUUACCUUAGAGAAUAAAAAAUACAUCCUAGACAUUACUCAAGCCUAGUAUAAAUUUUACAUUGUCUGACUAUAGCACACUCCUAAAUAAGUAUUAGAUCCCUUGCCUGCAUUCCGCACUCCAUCUGUGAUUCCAAAGCCUGUGAGAUUUUCUAUAUAUAUUACUGCCUUGGAGACCAAGUGAUGUUGGUCAUACACCUUGGCCCUUUAGCACAAAGAAAGGGAUUUUAUCUCCAUCAAGAGAGAUACAUAAACUGGUACCCAUAUAUACGCAUCAUUUCAUAAUAUAUGUGCACCAUUCCAAACAAAUGUAACACAGCCAUAUCCUGAGCUCUAGAAAUCUAGAAAUCCAUCAUCUAAAAGGGGAAGCAAUGCAGUAAAAUUGGAGUUGUGCAUAUUGGAGUCAGAGUAAGAUGGAACCUGGAAACGUUUUCACCCUCUCUUGACCUAUCUUCACUUAUUUUAUAGGUAUAACUUGACAUUCUUGAACCUACCACUUGAUGUUAGCAAAUCCUAGAAAGGGAUGGGCUGUUCUAGUUGUGGUAUUGUGGGUGUUCAUUCCCAUUCUCUCUCUGUUUUAAUAUAUUUUCUAAAUGUUCUACAAUGAACACAUUUUAUUUAUUUAUUUACUUAUUUGAGACGGAGUUUCACUCUUUUUGCCCAAGCUGGAAUGCAAUGGCGCUAUCUCAGCUCACUGCAACUUCCACCUCCCAGGUUCAAGUGAUUCUCCUGCCCCAGGCUCCCAAGUAGCUGGGAUUACAGGCACCCGCCACCACGCCUGGCUAAUUUUUUUUGUAUUUUUCAUCGAGACGGGGCUUCACCAUGUUGGCAAAGCUGGUCU